AAUUUGAACAUUUCAUUUCAGGAUUUGGGGGAUCCUUACCAAGUUGAAGAUUUUAACAGAAUUCUUAGAAGACUAAUUCGAGUUGAAACCCUCUGGGAUUGCUAAAGAACCCUUUUUACAGGGAACUGCUAUUUGCUUCAGCAGGCAGAAUGGGUAGGUGGAGUGAGCUUUGGUGGCGAUGAGAGGGGCCAACAGAGGUCCUCAGGAGUGAAUUAGAUGAAGGAAAUUGAGCAUCCACAAAAAGGAAGGAGUAUUCUCCUGUUUGCCAAACUUAAAAAUGCUGGAUGGAAUCUUGAAGCUACCAGAAGAUUGCUCAUCACCAGAAACCAAUAUUUUUUCAAAAAUAUGCCUAGUAUCCUAAUGCAGUCUGUAUAGAAAGAAAGCAAUCAUCAUUGUUGCUAAAAGCUAAUAAACACAGGAAAUGCAUGAUUAAA
This 434-nucleotide small RNA is filed under the name Pongo abelii (Sumatran orangutan). RNAcentral's name for it is "processed transcript". The record is from RNAcentral. Lineage: Eukaryota; Metazoa; Chordata; Mammalia; Primates; Hominidae.